GACGAACGCUGGCGGCGUGCUUAACACAUGCAAGUCGAACGGAAAGACCCUGCUUUUGUGGGGUGCUCGAGUGGCGAACGGGUGAGUAACACGUGAGUAACCUGCCCUUGACUUUGGGAUAACUUCAGGAAACUGGGGCUAAUACCGGAUAGGAGCUCCUGCUGCAUGGUGGGGGUUGGAAAGUUUCGGCGGUUGGGGAUGGACUCGCGGCUUAUCAGCUUGUUGGUGGGGUAGUGGCUUACCAAGGCUUUGACGGGUAGCCGGCCUGAGAGGGUGACCGGCCACAUUGGGACUGAGAUACGGCCCAGACUCCUACGGGAGGCAGCAGUGGGGAAUAUUGCACAAUGGGCGGAAGCCUGAUGCAGCAACGCCGCGUGCGGGAUGACGGCCUUCGGGUUGUAAACCGCUUUCGCCUGUGAUGAAGCGUGAGUGACGGUAAUGGGUAAAGAAGCACCGGCUAACUACGUG
This 468-nucleotide ribosomal RNA is filed under the name uncultured bacterium. Its description in RNAcentral is "partial 16S ribosomal RNA". It matches the Rfam family "Bacterial small subunit ribosomal RNA", at positions 28 to 507 of the family's 1533-position model. The record is from RNAcentral.